UGGGGAAUAUUGCGCAAUGGGCGAAAGCCUGACCCAGCAACGCCGCGUGAAGGAUGAAGUAUUUCGGUAUGUAAACUUCGAAAGAAUAGGAAGAAUAAAUGACGGUACUAUUUAUAAGGUCCGGCUAACUACGUGCCAGCAGCCGCGGUAAUACGUAGGGACCAAGCGUUGUUCGGAUUUACUGGGCGUAAAGGGCGCGUAGGCGGCAAUUCAAGUCAUCUGUGAAAUCUCCGGGCUUAACUCGGAACGGUCAGAUGAUACUGCUUUGCUAGAGUGCAGAAGGGGCAAUCGGAAUUCUUGGUGUAGCGGUGAAAUGCGUAGAUAUCAAGAGGAACACCUGAGGUGAAGACGGGUUGCUGGGCUGACACUGACGCUGAGGCGCGAAAGCCAGGGGAGCAAACGGGAUUAGAUACCCUAGUAGUCCCUGAGCGGGCUGGCAAGGCGCAU
Molecule: ribosomal RNA, 447 nt
Filed under: uncultured bacterium
Lineage: Bacteria
Description: bacterial SSU rRNA
Rfam family: Bacterial small subunit ribosomal RNA
Source: RNAcentral